This 398-nucleotide ribosomal RNA is filed under the name uncultured bacterium. RNAcentral describes it as "bacterial SSU rRNA". It matches the Rfam family "Bacterial small subunit ribosomal RNA", at positions 28 to 418 of the family's 1533-position model. The record is from RNAcentral.
GACGAACGCUGGCGGUGUGCUUAACACAUGCAAGUGGUGCGACGAACCAGAGCUUGCUCUGGGGCAAAGCCGCGAACGGGUGAGUAACACGUGGGUAAUCUACCCCGAUGACCGGGACAACCCGAGGAAACUCGGGCUAAUACCGGAUGUGGUACGGAGACAUAAGUCUCUUUACUAAAGGUAGCUUCGGCUUCCGCAUUGGGAGGGGCCCGCGGCCCAUUAGCUAGUUGGUGGGGUCAAGGCCUACCAAGGCAACGAUGGGUAGCUGGUCUGAGAGGACGAUCAGCCACACUGGGACUGAGACACGGCCCAGACUCCUACGGGAGGCAGCAGUGGGGAAUCUUGCGCAAUGCGCGAAAAGCGUGACGCAGCAACACCGCGUGAGGGAAGACGGCCUU